GGUGCUGUUGGGCAUGCAAGAUUCGUCCAUUAAUGAGCUGCUGAAGCAGGUGCUAUUUUCGUGAACAACAAAGGGUUGUUGGUUGGUUUUUCCAAGUAGCCAUUCGGCCAACAUCAUGCUUGGUGUUUCCUCUCUUCAAGGCCGAACUUUACACUACCCAAAGAAGCUUUUAAAGCCAUUUUAAAGUAUCAAGGCCGAAUCGGGACUAGUCCAUAAAGUUCUCC
RNAcentral lists this long non-coding RNA (224 nucleotides) under Gossypium barbadense (sea-island cotton). RNAcentral's name for it is "long non-coding RNA (GBAR_LNC011395)". The record is from RNAcentral. Lineage: Eukaryota; Viridiplantae; Streptophyta; Magnoliopsida; Malvales; Malvaceae.